Non-coding RNA from Vicia faba (fava bean), 396 nucleotides. NCBI's taxonomy places the organism in Eukaryota, Viridiplantae, Streptophyta, Magnoliopsida, Fabales, Fabaceae. The record is from the annotation of a GenBank genome assembly.
AUGUCUCCUAGUGCGUCAGACGGUUCUCUACUAUGUUGGAAUUGCUAUGAGAAGACCUAUAGGAAGAAAGCUAUCUUCAAGUUCCAUAUUACUCAUAGCACCAAAAAUUGUUUCAUUCUCGUAGUUCCAUAUGCCAUAGACAGUCUUAACAAUAGCCAGCUUGAGCAAGGAGGCUUUCUACCCUUUAACCUUCCCAUGCGCAAUAGUUCAGCGAAGCUCAAUAUCCCAACUUUUUGGAACAUGGGACUGAUGAAUCUAGGCCAGAAUAUUACUCCAGAUAUGAUUAAGCUUAUGACAAUCAAACAACAAAUUCAUAAUAGAUUCCUCUUUGCUGCAGAAGGCACAAUCCUUAUUAGCAACCAUCCCAAAUUUGAACAAUCUACAUCUAGUAGCUAG